RNAcentral lists this transfer RNA (71 nucleotides) under Heterocephalus glaber (naked mole-rat). It matches the Rfam family "tRNA". From Rfam's summary of the family: Transfer RNA (tRNA) molecules are approximately 80 nucleotides in length. Lineage: Eukaryota; Metazoa; Chordata; Mammalia; Rodentia; Bathyergidae. The record is from Rfam by way of RNAcentral.
GGAGUUGUGGCUCAGUGGUAGAGCAUGUGCCUAGCAUGCACAAGGCCCUGCGUUUGCCCCCAGGACCACCA